Long non-coding RNA from Nymphalis io (European peacock), 534 nucleotides. RefSeq lists it as uncharacterized. Lineage: Eukaryota; Metazoa; Arthropoda; Insecta; Lepidoptera; Nymphalidae. The transcript is spliced from 3 exons. The record is from RefSeq and is a predicted model, not a curated record.
CAUUGAAAUAUUUUUCCGCGGCCUGGAAACUAUGCCAGUGUAGUGUUUGAAUGUGAGGGAGGGAAGCGAAUAUAAAAUGAAUCAUGUUCAUAUUCCCGCAUGCAUGUCUUAAAAAUAGUCACAAUGGAAGAGUGAACGCGUCCGGUCGAGAGGAGGUCGCGGUCGCCCUUACCACCCCGACCGCCCGGGACCGAACGGGUCAACUUGCCAAACUAGUUCUUUUAUUUCCGACCUGCAUAACAGGUCGGGCAAUAGGGCUACGUAGCAAGUAGGUAACUCAUCAGUGCACGCGAAAUUGUUUCGGCCGGUCAUCGCCCUGACGUCCUUCGUGUUAUGCGAACACUCACGCAACGUUAAUUAUUAGAGCACAUUGUCAUUUCAACUACGAAACUUUGUUUAAUUCUUUAUCCAGUUACAAUUACAAUUAUUGUUGUGUAUCGCAUGAGUUUCUGAGGUAUCUAAAGGUAUAUUCAAUUUGUAUUAGAAAAAACAAAAUCAAUUUUUUGUUAAGUAAUAUAUUCAUUUAUUCUCGUA